This 74-nucleotide transfer RNA is filed under the name Brevundimonas phage vB_BpoS-Gurke. RNAcentral describes it as "tRNA-Gln". It matches the Rfam family "tRNA". Rfam says of the family: Transfer RNA (tRNA) molecules are approximately 80 nucleotides in length. The record is from RNAcentral. Lineage: Duplodnaviria; Heunggongvirae; Uroviricota; Caudoviricetes; Jeanschmidtviridae. RNAcentral also lists the same sequence under 1 other name.
UCAGGGGUGGUAUAACGGUAUUACGUCCGGUUUUGGUCCGGCAAAUGAGGGUUCGAUUCCUUCCCCCUGAACCA